Long non-coding RNA from Raphanus sativus (radish), 1784 nucleotides. RefSeq lists it as uncharacterized. The transcript has 2 exons. Lineage: Eukaryota; Viridiplantae; Streptophyta; Magnoliopsida; Brassicales; Brassicaceae. The record is from RefSeq and is a predicted model, not a curated record.
UGUACCUCCUCUGAAAAAGUUACAUUCACGCUUGAUAGGUAAGAGACAAUCUUCAAGAAGUAAUCGAUGUUCUCAUCCAUACUCCGAGUAUCGACCAUCUUAAAGGUAUAGAAUUUGUGCUGCAAGUGAAUUAUAUUUGGUAGAGUCUUUGAAAGAUAUAACCUCUCCAGUGUAGACCAUGUAGAUGCAGCUGACAUACGCAACUUGAUCUUCCUUAACACAUGAUCUCCCAAAUUUAGAAUGAUCAGAUUCAUCGCCUUCUCUGAUCUUUCAAGCCUUUCGGCUUCCUCCUUUUUAAUUCUUUUCUUUUUGUGGUGGAACCAUACUUAGAAGCCCUUCAUUUUGUUUCUCUCUCUCUCUCUCUCUCUCUCUCUCUAUAUAUAUAUAUCUCUCUCUCUCUCUCUCUCUCUCUCUCUCUCUCUCUCUCUCUGAUAAAAAACCAUUGAUUUGUGUUCUGCUCAGCGGCCACGUUUCGCAGCCGUCUCCGCCUUUGUUUCUCCUCCUCGCUUGGAGCCUUCUCUCUAUCGCCUCUGAUAUGCUUAUAGUUCUGAGGCUGGACAUCACCGCGGAUCUGUUGGUUUUAGUCUUGGAACGGCGGCGAGGUGGUGAGAUUUAGCGGGUUUUCAUGGUUUCUCGGGUGGUAAGGCGGCGGAAGUUCAGGUCUGGGGUCCAUAUCUAUGUGUUGAAGACGAGUAUCUUUCUCUUCUACCCCCCCCCUCUUUUUUCUUUGGUUAGGGUGUGUUCCUCUCGCGAUUCUAUUCCAGUGAUGGAGUUUGAGGUUCCGGUCUGGGGGAGUGUUUCUUCAAUUUCGCCUUAUGUCUCUCUCCUGGUUAUUUUAGACCCGUCAGUCGGAUCUCAUGGUGGUUUUCCGGGUGAAGCCAUUAUUUCUCUCUCGCUAUCUCUCUCUUGGAUCAAAAACUCUAGAUAUGUGUUCUUCUCAGCGGCCGCGUUUUGCUGCAGACUCCGCCUUUGUUUCUCUGUUUCUCCUCCUCGCUUGAAGUCCUUCUCUCGGCUCUGAUAUGCUUGUAGUUGUGAGACUUGACCAUCACCGCGGAUCUGUUGGUUUUAGUUUUGGAAUAGUGGCGAGGUGGUGAGAUUUAACGGGUUUUCAUGGUUUCUCGGGUGGAUGAAGCAGCGGAAGCUCAGAUCUGGAGUCUAGAUCUACGUGUUGAAGACGAGUAUAUUUCUCUUCUACACCUCUCCUCCUCUUUCUUCGGUUAGGGUGUGCUCCUCUCGCGGUUCUGUUCUGGUGGUGAAGCUUGAGGUUCCGCUAUGUGGGAGUGUUUCCUCAAUUUUGCCUCAUGUCAUUCUCUUGGUUCUUUUAGACCCGUCAGUCAGAUCUCACGGUGGUUUGUCGGGUAAAGAAAUUAUUUCGUGGUAGAAUAGAUCUUCUUCGGGUUCUUCGGCGGAGAGACACAUGGGACCAAAGAUCUAUGGGUUUGUCAUCCUAGGUCCUCGGUUCUGUGACAGCGCAUGUAGUUCUGGUCAGUCUCAGGGGAUUGAUCAAGGGCUUUUUCCUAACUGCUCUAUGCGGAGUGGUGCUGGUUUGCUCUAUUUUCUCUGUUUCAGUGUAGCUUCGCUAGCUGGGAGACAGGUGAUGUUGUCAAUGUAUCUCGGAGAUGCCAUUGUGUUGAGGUUAUCCGUUUUGAACCGAACUUUUUGCAAGCCGUAUUCUACCGAGUCUGUUUUUUUUGUGUGAUAUGUUGACAACCUAUUGUGAAUCCUAGUGGUCUCAGCGAUAGCUUGUUCUUUUAGCUGCUUGGCUUUUCUUUUUUUUUUUGAAA